GCGGCUGACCGCUCUGUCGUGCCGCUCUGCCAUCCGGCGGACGGUAAGGAAAGUCCGGGCAACAAAGGGCGCCAUGCUUCCUAACGGGAAGUCGGGUGAAAGCCUGAAGCCACGUAACAGAAAAUGACCGCCCUGGAGGUUCGCCGCCGGGGUAAGGGUGAAAAGGUGUGGUAAGAGCGCACCGGUCGCGGGAGCAAUUCCGGGAGCCGUACGUCUCAUGGGUUGCAAGGCCAAAUAUAUCCCGGUCGCAAGGCAAGACGGCCCGUCUUGUUUCCUGAUGCCCGCAGGCGGAAGGAUGCCGGGAGGGGUAGGCUGCAUGACCGUGCCAGUAAUGGUACGGCGAGAUAAAUGACAGAGAUCCGGUGCCGGCAACGGUUCCGGGUACAGAACCCGGCUUACAGGUCAGCCAAUUUU
RNAcentral lists this RNase P RNA (414 nucleotides) under Prolixibacteraceae bacterium. Its description in RNAcentral is "RNase P RNA component class A". It matches the Rfam family "Bacterial RNase P class A". Rfam says of the family: Ribonuclease P (RNase P) is a ubiquitous endoribonuclease, found in archaea, bacteria and eukarya as well as chloroplasts and mitochondria. Its best characterised activity is the generation of mature 5'-ends of tRNAs by cleaving the 5'-leader elements of precursor-tRNAs. Lineage: Bacteria; Pseudomonadati; Bacteroidota; Bacteroidia; Marinilabiliales; Prolixibacteraceae. The record is from RNAcentral.